CCUACGUGCGGCAGCAGUGAGGAAUAUUGGUCAAUGGGCGCGAGCCUGAACCAGCCAAGUAGCGUUAAGGAUGACUGCCCUACGGGUUGUAAACUUCUUUUAUCAAGGAUUCAAGUGAGGCCCGUGUGCCUUUUUGUAUGUACUUUUUGAAUAAGGAUCGGCUAACUCCGUGCCAGCAGCCCCGGUAAUACGGGGGAUCCGAGCGUUAUCCGGAUUUAUUGGGUUUAAAGGGAGCGUAGAUGGGUUGUUAAGUAAGUUGUGAAAGUUUGCGGCUCAACCGUAAAAUUGCAAUUGAUACUGGCAGCCUUGAGUACAGUUGAGGUAGGCGGAAUUCGUGGUGUAGCGGUGAAAUGCUUAGAUAUCACGAAGAACUCCGAUUGCGAAGGCAGCUUACUAAACUGCCACUGACAUUGAUGCUCGAAAGUGUGGGUAUCAAACAGGAUUAGAUACCCUUGUAGUC
RNAcentral lists this ribosomal RNA (460 nucleotides) under uncultured bacterium. RNAcentral's name for it is "partial 16S ribosomal RNA". It matches the Rfam family "Bacterial small subunit ribosomal RNA", at positions 338 to 795 of the family's 1533-position model. The record is from RNAcentral.